Molecule: ribosomal RNA, 190 nt
Filed under: uncultured bacterium
Lineage: Bacteria
Description: partial small subunit ribosomal RNA
Rfam family: Bacterial small subunit ribosomal RNA
Source: RNAcentral
UCCUACGGGAGGCAGCAGUGAGGAAUAUUGGACAAUGGGCGCAAGCCUGAUCCAGCCAUGCCGCGUGUAGGAAGACGGCCCUAUGGGUUGUAAACUACUUUUGUAUAGGAAGAAAUCUUUUUACGUGUAAGAAGUUGACGGUACUAUAAGAAUAAGCACCGGCUAACUCCGUGCCAGCAGCCGCGGUAAU